GUUGGCGAGCAGCGCCAGAGGCAGAGAAUUCGACUGCAGCAGGAGAACGUGCCAGACAAAGUGGCUGUGGUGCACAUAGCUCGGGGCCUAAGUCAGGCGGGUGGCACUGAAGUGCGGUACAGUCUUUCAUAAAUUUAUGUUAGGAGGCGAAACAGGGGUUAAGAUGAGUAGAGGAGAAUGAUUGUCCGGCAUGCGCAGUUGAGGCCAUCGGAAAAAUCAAUUCAGCUAAAAGAGCGCCCGGUUCACGGAAUUGCAGGGCCACACCAACCAAAACAACGCCACCGAGAACAACAACAUCGCCAGUAAUAACAACAUUACUGCGCAACAUUUGUUGCGCCCAGGAGAAAACGGGAGGGGGGAGGCUUGCGGCCAGUCGAAGAAGCGCCGUCGCCCAAAACCACCCAUUGAACAACAACAACCUCGAAGCGCUACUGUGGAUGCGGGAGCGCUUAUGUAAUACAUGACCAAGAAGAUGACUGCGCAGUAAAUGGCUGAAUAGUCGGUGAAGAGAAGCAAACCUAAAUAGCGGUGGUUUUAGGUUUAGGUUUUAUACAAAUUUUGAUACUUCAAACGAAACGUUCAAAUACAAAGCAAACAGCUGAAGACUAUGUUAUAAUUUACAUGAAUCCUCUAUGUCAAAAGCCCAGCGAUGCACACAAUUGGUUGGUUGAAUCGUCAGCGCACAGUCUCCCAGUCAUUGUCCUGGCAAAAGUUUCUCACCGAACGUCCUUGUUUGAGGUUACUUAUGUGUAUAUUUGGCUUCCCUAGCACAUAACAGAAGGGGAGGCUAAAAAGAAGCCCCGUAUGUACUUAGUCUGCAGGGUUUCCCGCAUUCCCUACACAUUUACACUACCGUGUUCAUAGAGUUGAAAUUUCUGUUACCCUUUUUAAGUCUUAUUUUCAAUCAUAGCCGGACGACGUUGCCCUCCCAUUUCCCAACUGACUGCAGUCAAAGUAAUUCGAACGGGAGAACAUUCACUACACGCGUCUCCCUCAGGGCGUGAAAUUUAUCAACAUCACGGAAUUGGCAGUAGGAGUAGGAAGGUCGGAAAGAAGAAGUUACAGAAGCAUGGUUGGAUAGAGUGCACCCCUGUAGCAUGCAAAAGUUGAAGGGCACGGGAAUGACAAGACGCAGGACGUAAUCACGGCAUUCUGCUAAAGGAAUUAGAUAAACAUAUUAUAACAAUUUCUCAUUCUAAAGCAUUAAGAAUAUAAAAUAUUUCGUAUCCCACAUAGAAUUAAGAAAUGUUAGAUUUAGAAAAUAGCCGUUAUUUCAUGAAAUGUUAAUGUUAAUGUUAAAAAAAACAAACCAACAUUAAAAAUAGAGAGAAUACUGGCAAAUACA
Long non-coding RNA from Drosophila mauritiana, 1345 nucleotides. RefSeq lists it as uncharacterized. The record is from RefSeq and is a predicted model, not a curated record. The transcript is spliced from 4 exons. Lineage: Eukaryota; Metazoa; Arthropoda; Insecta; Diptera; Drosophilidae.